GACGGAGGAUGCAAGCGUUGUCCGGAAUUAUUGGGCGUAAAGAGCGUGUAGGCGGCCAGAUAAGUCCGCUGUGAAAUCUCGAGGCUCAACUUCGAGCUGUCGGUGGAAACUAUCUGGCUAGAGUCCGGAAGAGGAGAAUGGAAUUCCUGGUGUAGCGGUGAAAUGCGCAGAUAUCAGGAAGAACACCCGUGGCGAAGGCGGUUCUCUGGGACGGUACUGACGCUGAGACGCGAAAGCGUGGGGAGCGAACAGG
RNAcentral lists this ribosomal RNA (253 nucleotides) under uncultured bacterium. RNAcentral's name for it is "partial 16S ribosomal RNA". It matches the Rfam family "Bacterial small subunit ribosomal RNA", at positions 524 to 776 of the family's 1533-position model. The record is from RNAcentral.